CUUGGCUGCCCUGCCAACAACGCUGUACUGUGCGUUCAAACCGCCGCCGGCGGGAGGGUCAAAGUAAAUGACAUGUUGUGGCAACCAAUCGGAAUCCUCUCAAGCGAGGACCUCUACAUUCCGAUUGGUUGCCGCUGAACCGCGUCAUAGCUCAUUACCAUAAAGCUGACCUGACUUCAACUCUCCUCGACGCUCUCACCGUCCAAGACGCGCCGCGCCGCUCUCGCUGGAGCUCGCCGCCGGCUCACAUUGAAAAUGAAUGACUUGCUGUCACUUCGACGCUCUCGACGGCGGCGGUGUGAACGCACGGUUCUGUCUCUCUUCCUCUCUCUCUCUCUCUCUAUCUCUCUCUCUCUGUUUCUUUCACUAAUCCCUGGUAAAUGGCUGAAGUAUAGAAAGCCCUGCAGGCGAGGAGGUUUUGUGCUUGGAGGAGUGCUCAGUGAAGCACGCAGGAGAAAGGAGACACUAAGGGCACAUAGUUUGGGCUCAAGGUGACCUCAGGUAUGCACACACCCUCUGGUCCACUACACAAAGAAGAACGAGAAGAUCUAAAGUCUCCCAAUAACAAACUCUUCAGGCUGUGUGGAUCAGAUGAGCUAAAGUCUUGUUGGAGUGUCUGAAGUGCUGUCCGCCCCAUCACCUUUGACCCGACACCCGACCCCUGAUGUGUUUUGUUGGGGUGCAGUUGUCAUGCGGCACAAUAGGAGGAAGACAACAGGCCUGGGACGCUGCGGCAGUUUGUAGGCCUUCGGGCACAGACACCAUCCGCCAACCCCCUCCCACCCAUUACCUUAGUGGGGUAAAUCCAAAUCACUCAACUGUGUCUCCUGCCCCCCUCCUUCUCCAAAACCUCAAUCUCCUGCCUGUGCUACUAACAAGAUCUGAUACUAUCAGAUAACUGCUGGAAGUGCAGAAGUGGGUGGAGAAAUCAUUCUCCACCACCAACGAGAUGUCACCACCAUCUUUGUUGGAACUGUCACGUUAGAGUGGUUUGUGCUCCUCGCUUAUUGGAAAGACCAACAGACAUUGUUGGGCGAAUAAAAACAUGCCUCCAAUAUCAGAUCUCAUCGCCAUCCUGAAAAUGAUUGCUGGAUGAAGUAUGUCAUAGACAAGAUUGCCUAUGUGUGUGAGUGUGUGCGCAUUUGAGGCUUCCACACGGCGUAUGCAAGAAUCAAAUUAUGAUUCAGGAACGAAAACGUUGGAGUUCACGCAGAUAGAUCCUCAUCUAGCAUUAUGAGUAAUUUAAACCUGAAACUGCUUAACCAUUUCACAACAGUUCAAACAAAGCACAAGAGAUUUUAAUGAGUGUCAGAGGCCAAAGAAGAUCUGAUAAUCUCAAUGAGAUGAGAGAAGAAACCUUAAAUGGAUAUUAAUAUCAAAUCAGGACUUGAGGAGUGGGAGCAGCGUAGCGCGAAAUGCCCAAUCUGAAGAUCUCAGGCCCGUCUCUGCGCUGGCACUAAUGUGAGCUGACCUCUUCGAGCCCUCUGUUAGGAUCUGGAGAGACUCUGAUUAAUAAUGGAGAAUCGGCGCGGUCAAAGACGGCUAUCUUGGUGGUAUGAGUCGGAGAUGUCCCCCUGCGUCAGUCACCCCGAAAAACACAACCGUCCUAGAGCCCCAGAGGACGGAAUCUAUAAUUGAUGAGAGAUCAAAAAUGAAGAAGGACACUAUGUAGGUUGUGUGAUUUGAAUGGUCGAAUGUGCUGGAAUGGUGAUUUUGUUAGUUUUGAUAUGAGAAUGGGAGAGAAACCUGAAUUGGAGAAAAACAUGCAAGGAACUUUGUAUUGGAAUUAUUUGAUUAAAAAAAUAAUAAAAAAUACGGCAAUUAAAGUGGCAAAAAUGACAGUGACACAAUUUCACGUUUAGAAGAUUUUAAAUAUUUCCGUACACAACCUCAGAUUUACAAUAGAUUAACUAGAUUUGUGGUUUCCAGACUUCUCAGGCCAAGCACCAACUCUAAACAACUUUAGAAUCUGAACAGGUAACACUUAUUCACCAAUGUGUAAGGAUAUUUUUUAAUGAGUAGAAACUUUGAAAAGAAUAUUACCAAAGUCCCUUUAAGACAAGUCAUUUCACUCGGC
Molecule: long non-coding RNA, 2077 nt
Organism: Ctenopharyngodon idella (grass carp)
Lineage: Eukaryota; Metazoa; Chordata; Actinopteri; Cypriniformes; Xenocyprididae
Exons: 3
Source: RefSeq, a predicted model, not a curated record